Molecule: ribosomal RNA, 749 nt
Filed under: uncultured bacterium
Lineage: Bacteria
Description: bacterial SSU rRNA
Rfam family: Bacterial small subunit ribosomal RNA
Source: RNAcentral
AUUGAACGCUGGCGGCAUGCUUUACACAUGCAAGUCGAACGGUAACAGGCCGCAAGGUGCUGACGAGUGGCGAACGGGUGAGUAAUGCAUCGGAGCGUGCCCAGUCGUGGGGGAUAACGCAGCGAAAGCUGCGCUAAUACCGCAUACGAUCUAUGGAUGAAAGCGGGGACCGUAAGGCCUCGCGCGAUUGGAGCGGCCGAUGUCAGAUUAGGUAGUUGGUGAGGUAAAGGCUCACCAAGCCAACGAUCUGUAGCUGGUCUGAGAGGACGACCAGCCACACUGGGACUGAGACACGGCCCAGACUCCUACGGGAGGCAGCAGUGGGGAAUUUUGGACAAUGGGCGCAAGCCUGAUCCAGCAAUGCCGCGUGCAGGAAGAAGGCCUCGGGUUGUAAACUGCUUUUUGUACGGAACGAAACGGCUCUCACUAAUACUGGGGCUAAUGACGGUACCGUAAGAAUAAGCACCGGCUAACUACGUGCCAGCAGCCGCGGUAAUACGUAGGGUGCAAGCGUUAAUCGGAAUUACUGGGCGUAAAGCGUGCGCAGGCGGUUGUGUAAGACAGGCGUGAAAUCCCGGGCUCAACCUGGGAAUUGCGCUUGUGACUGCACAGCUGGAGUGCGGCAGAGGGGAUGGAAUUCCGCGUGUAGCAGUGAAAUGCGUGGAUAUGCGGAGGAACACCGAUGGCGAAGGCAAUCCCCUGGGCCUGCACUGACGCUCAUGCACGAAAGCGUGGGGGAGCAAACAGGA